CCCUUAGAUGUUCUGGGCCGCACGCGUGCUACACUGAGUGGAUCAGCGGGUCAGGUUGCGCGAAAGCGUUUCCUAAUCUUUAAAUCCGCUCGUGAUGGGGAUUGACGGUUGCAAUUUUCUGUCAUGAACGAGGAAUACCUUGUAAGCGCGGGUCAUCAUCCCGCGCUGAAUACGUCCCUGCCCUUUGUACACACCGCCCGUCGCACCUACCGAUUGGAUGGUCCGGUGAAGCCUCGGGAUUGUGGUUCUUGCCGCUUUAUUGUGGCGUGACCGCGAGAACUUGUCUAAACCCUAUCAUCUAGAGGAAGGUGAAGUCGUAACA
This 322-nucleotide ribosomal RNA is filed under the name uncultured eukaryote. Its description in RNAcentral is "partial 18S ribosomal RNA". It matches the Rfam family "Eukaryotic small subunit ribosomal RNA", at positions 1470 to 1796 of the family's 1831-position model. The record is from RNAcentral.